Long non-coding RNA from Aedes aegypti (yellow fever mosquito), 1927 nucleotides. RefSeq lists it as uncharacterized. The record is from RefSeq and is a predicted model, not a curated record. The transcript has 2 exons. Lineage: Eukaryota; Metazoa; Arthropoda; Insecta; Diptera; Culicidae.
UUUUUAAAUUUGAAAUUUUUAAUAACCAUCCAAGAAAAUGAUCAAUGUUACCUUGGAUUACGGUCCAUAGAAAAUGAAAGUACCAAGAACAAUGUAUAUAUUAAUAGAAUCGUUAAACUAAGUCCUAAAGUUAAAAUAAAACUUGAAACCAGUCGAUUUUUUCCCUAUUUGAGCUCUUUCCCGAUUUUAUCAACCCUAAAUGCAGCAUGGGGCUAACAAAAUUGGGACAUUACUGUAUACAAAAUUGAGUGUAAUAAUUAUAAACAGCUUCAUACAAAAGUAUUUUUUUUUCAACUUAUGUUUAGCUGUUGGUGAUGUUAGAAGAAAUUUGCCGAAUAUUUGAAAAAUAGUUUUUGAAAUGUCCACGUAGACAUUUAGGGAAGGGUCUAAAGCGAGGUUGUUGUGUUCACGGUUCCAAAGGUUUUAAUAAUUUUGAAAAAUCUCAAUGAUUCUUUUUCACAACUUAGAGGAUGACAUAAAUUUAAUCGAAUGCAUAACCUAACCUAAAAUUCUCUUUUGCAAGAUGUUCUUCUAAAGUUUGAAUUGUUUUAAAAUAUAUAGGAUGGGGACGUUUGAUCCAUCAACUAAUAAACAGAUAUUUUAUUUGAUAUGCAAUAGUAAUUCUUUUGGAAACACCUUAUUUCUUAAAAUUGUGAUAUCGCUGGUGAAACAAUGUGUUAAAUAUAAUUUAUUCACUUAGCUUCAUUAAACAGCAAAAAAAAGUUAGAUUAAGUCUUUCCAAUUUCAUAGAGCAUUAUUUUGUAGCACUUCUAGAACUUGAAAUUUGAAAAAAUAUGGAUAAGUACGUAUUUGUGUGUGCAAAAAAUUGUACAAAAUUUAAAAAAAAUCGUUUUUUUUAUACCGCCUACUUUAUUUACGUUGCAGCAAUGGUUUGACCAUGAAAACACGAAAUUCGAUGAAAAAAAAAUGCAAAGUUUAGCAUAUUUUUAAAGAAAUCUGUUAAACGUGAGCGGAAAUAGUAACAGUUAGAUGCAGAAAGAAAUGCAAUUAAAUAAUUUUAAUGAAUGUUUUUCAAAUUCACUAAAAAGAAUACAAAUUGACUCAAUAGCUAUUUUUGAAUAACCCUUUGAACACAUACUUGUCUUAAAUGAGCGGAAUAUGGUGCAAUGAAGGUAAAUCUAAGUCGAAAAUUUUGCCCACCUCAGAAACACUUGAGAAUUUAUUUUUGCAAAGCAUUACACAGGGGUGAAACACUAUAGCCAUAACUGGUACACUUUCACUAAUUAAUGAUAAUUUUCUUCGAUCUUUGAUUUUGUGUUUUUGUGGAUUCAUGGGUAACACUAUGCUUCGACUGAGGACAUGCCCUAUCCGUUCCAUCCUUGUGUCUCGUAUUUCUCAAGCAUCUCUUCAGAAAAUAUUCGAUUGGAAACUGAUUAGAAAAAUAAAGAAUUCCUCCCGUUCUUGAAGGUAUUCUUCAACUUCCUCCGUUCUGAAAGCGUUUUAUCAUGUAUACGUACAACUUUUCUUCCCGAAAUAAUAGACACAGACAAACGGGAAAUAUAAACUUUGCUCUGCGUGAACCACGAUGGAAAGCGAAAAGUCAGUUGACGUGUGGUUCUGCGGUGGAAUAUUCCGAAAAGUUACUCGUUAUGAGAAAUUUGCCACUGUUGAAUUUUGUUGUCACUUUGUAACGAGAAAAACUUUUAACAAUAUAAAAAACGGGGCGCUGAAGUGUGGGAGAAAAAUUGAAUUUUUCUUUUCUGGACACUUGUUUCGUUUGUCUGACAUUCGCUAAAUAUGGUUAGGCAGUAAUACGUGUCGACGGUCGGUAGUGACCAUGGAAUACUUGGUGAACGUGAUUCGAUAUCCGUCAAACAAUCUAAAAGAGCUCAAUAAAAUUGUUGGUUUAGUUGUAUGUCGGUUGGUGUUUUUUUCGAGCAUGUACUGUACUUUUAACAGUAACAAA